RNAcentral lists this ribosomal RNA (279 nucleotides) under uncultured bacterium. Its description in RNAcentral is "partial 16S ribosomal RNA". It matches the Rfam family "Bacterial small subunit ribosomal RNA", at positions 506 to 784 of the family's 1533-position model. The record is from RNAcentral.
UGCCAGCCGCCGCGGUAAUACGGAGGGGGUUAGCGUUGUUCGGAAUCAUUGGGCGUAAAGGGUGUGCAGGCUGGAAAGUGUGUCUGAUGUGAAAGCCCGGGGCUUAACCCCGGAAGUGCAUUGGAAACUGCUUUUCUUGAAUCUCGGAGAGGGUAGUGGAAUUCCUGGUGUAGAGGUGAAAUUCGUAGAUAUUCGGAGGAACACCAGUGGCGAAGGCGGCUCACUGGCUCGAUACUGACGCUGAGGUGCGAAAGCGUGGGGAGCAAACAGGAUUAGAUA